Molecule: small nuclear RNA, 107 nt
Organism: Dipodomys ordii (Ord's kangaroo rat)
Lineage: Eukaryota; Metazoa; Chordata; Mammalia; Rodentia; Heteromyidae
Source: Ensembl
GUGUUCGCUUCGGCAACACAUAUACUAAAAUUGGAACGAUACAGAGAAGAUUAGCAUGGCCCCUGCGCAAGUAUGACACGCAAAUUCGUGAAGCGUUCCAAAAUUUU